Bryopsis sp. KO-2023 is the source of this 71-nucleotide non-coding RNA. The record is from the annotation of a GenBank genome assembly. NCBI's taxonomy places the organism in Eukaryota, Viridiplantae, Chlorophyta, Ulvophyceae, Bryopsidales, Bryopsidaceae.
GCGGGUGUAGCUCAAUGGUAGAGCCCCAGCCUUCCAAGCUGGUUGUGAGGGUUCAAGUCCCUUCUCCCGCU